RNAcentral lists this ribosomal RNA (433 nucleotides) under uncultured bacterium. Its description in RNAcentral is "partial 16S ribosomal RNA". It matches the Rfam family "Bacterial small subunit ribosomal RNA", at positions 29 to 507 of the family's 1533-position model. The record is from RNAcentral.
AACGAACGCUGGCGGCAUGCCUAACACAUGCAAGUCGAACGAGACCUUCGGGUCUAGUGGCGCACGGGUGCGUAACGCGUGGGAACCUGCCCUUAGGUUCGGAAUAACUCCCCGAAAGGGGUGCUAAUAUCGGAUAAUGUCUUCGGACCAAAGAUUUAUCGCCUUUGGAUGGGCCCGCGUUGGAUUAGCUAGUUGGUAGGGUAAAAGCCUACCAAGGCGACGAUCCAUAGCUGGUCUGAGAGGAUGAUCAGCCACACUGGGACUGAGACACGGCCCAGACUCCUACGGGAGGCAGCAGUGGGGAAUAUUGGACAAUGGGCGAAAGCCUGAUCCAGCAAGGCCGCGUGAGUGAUGAAGGCCUUAGGGUUGUAAAGCUCUUUUACCCGGGAGGAUAAUGACAGUACCGGGAGAAUAAGCUCCGGCUAACUCCGUG